Molecule: long non-coding RNA, 446 nt
Filed under: Anser brachyrhynchus (Pink-footed goose)
Lineage: Eukaryota; Metazoa; Chordata; Aves; Anseriformes; Anatidae
Description: lncRNA (ENSABRG00000010683.1)
Source: RNAcentral
AGAUGCCGCUCUGCCAUGGAAGCGGAAGGAUGGUGACCCCUUUCUGAUACACGAAGGCUGGGCUGAAAAACCCUGCUGGCAAAAAUCACAGAAAAAGGCGAGUGUUAAGGAUCCAGGCAAGGAGAAGCCACAUGAAAUUGGUGUUUUAAAGACCAGAGGGUCCCGAUGCAUCAGUCUCUCCACAAGCAUCAUUGAGUUUAACCCCAAAAGCCCCCCUUGGGAGCACCAGAGCUGGAGAUUAGUUACAAGGGUGGGGAGUUACAGGGAUGGUGAAAUAGGUGCCGAAGUCCAGGCUGAAGAGUGGUGUAUCCCCAGGAGUAAAGAUGUUACGGGGAAGAUAUCUACAAGCACAACAGGCUUUCUGCUCAAGAAGCUGCAGGAAAUGAAGGCUGUACAAACAGGAACCACUUACCUGUGAGCUACAAGAACAGAGACACGAAGAGGGG